This 370-nucleotide ribosomal RNA is filed under the name uncultured organism. RNAcentral describes it as "partial 16S ribosomal RNA". It matches the Rfam family "Bacterial small subunit ribosomal RNA", at positions 527 to 896 of the family's 1533-position model. The record is from RNAcentral.
AGAGGGCUCGAGCGUUAAUCGGAAUCACUGGGCUUAAAGGGUGCGCAGGCGGAUCAGUAAGUGUCUUGUGAAAUCCCACGGCUCAACCGUGGAAUGGCUUGGCAGACUGCUGAUCUUGAGCCCGGCAGGGGCCGUCGGAACGCUAGGUGGAGCGGUGAAAUGCGUAGAUAUCUAGCGGAACGCCAAAGGUGAAGACAGACGGCUGGGCCGGCGCUGACGCUCAGGCACGAAAGCGUGGGGAGCGAACGGGAUUAGAUACCCCGGUAGUCCACGCCCUAAACGAUGUGCACUAGGUCGAGGAGGUUUUGACGCCAUCUCGGCCGUAGUUAAAACAUUAAGUGCACCGCCUGGGAGUACGGUCGCAAGGCUA